Molecule: long non-coding RNA, 487 nt
Organism: Mauremys mutica (yellowpond turtle)
Lineage: Eukaryota; Metazoa; Chordata; Testudines; Geoemydidae
Exons: 3
Source: RefSeq, a predicted model, not a curated record
CCUCUCCUUGCAAGAAUUCCAAAUGACCCUACCAGGACCAGUAAGAAAACAGGCUAUUAUAAGAAUAGCAGGUGAUACUGGUUUGUGGCGCAGUUAAACUCUGGUCACAGCUCAGCGUUCCUCCUCGUUUCAAUGAUGCUCCUGGCGUCCCUCAAAGAUCGUUGUAAUAUUACCAAUAAAAAGAACUGUAUUCACAUCUUCAUUGCACACCUUUUGUCCCGCAUUCAAUAGAGAAUUACACAAGCAAAAACAAAAAAAUAACUCUGGGAGUGACACUGAAUACAGCAUCAGCUGAACUGUGGCAAUGCCUGGCGCCUUCUGACAGAACCUUCUUAGUUCCAUGCUCAGAGAAGGCAAGCUCCACAGGAGAAUAUGUGAUUUGCUGGUCCUGUCUCAAUCUGCAUGACCCCUGUCCCAAUGUUUCUGAAGAUUGACUGUCGAGCAUGCUCAUUGAUGAAAGUGUGAAGAAGAUUAAAGGUAGAUAAAC